Molecule: ribosomal RNA, 305 nt
Filed under: uncultured bacterium
Lineage: Bacteria
Description: bacterial SSU rRNA
Rfam family: Bacterial small subunit ribosomal RNA
Source: RNAcentral
CCUACGGGGGGCAGCAGUGGGGAAUAUUGCACAAUGGGGGAAACCCUGAUGCAGCAACGCCGCGUGAAGGAAGACGGUUUUCGGAUUGUAAACUUCUUUUCUUAGUGAAGAAGCAAGUGACGGUAGCUAAGGAAUAAGCAUCGGCUAACUACGUGCCAGCAGCCGCGGUAAUACGUAGGAUGCGAGCGUUAUCCGGAAUUACUGGGUGUAAAGGGAGCGCAGGCGGGACUGCAAGUUGGAUGUGAAAUACCGCAGCUUAACUGCGGAGCUGCAUCCAAAACUGUAGUUCUUGAGUGGAGUAGAGG